Long non-coding RNA from Pollicipes pollicipes, 234 nucleotides. RefSeq lists it as uncharacterized. Lineage: Eukaryota; Metazoa; Arthropoda; Thecostraca; Pollicipedomorpha; Pollicipedidae. The transcript is spliced from 3 exons. The record is from RefSeq and is a predicted model, not a curated record.
CUCUGACCCACAUCACGCUUGCAUUGGGUCUCCGCUGCUGGUUUAACGUCUUGAAUUUAGUGUUUAAAAGAGCCGUGGGAUCUAGAGCUUGGUUCGUGAGAAGCGUAGCAAAACCAUGGACCCACUGAAGAUUGGCAUCAUAAUAGUGAGUGACCGGGCGGCGGCAGGCAGCUCAGCCGACCUGACUGGGCCCCGGCUCAGCGCGCUGCUCGAGGGCGGCGAACUCUUUGUGGC